CGUAAAUAUCUUAUUCGAUUCUCAAUGGAAAGUCAUGUUGUUGGUCUUAUUCGAUAGCUAAAUCCUUUCUUGUUUUUAUGUUAAUUUGCUAUAAUUUUCAAAAGUGUAGAAAUAUAUGAUUUUUAGCUCAGAAGUGACAUACCGUAUUGAUCAACAUAACAGUAUGCGCCAUUGUGCAAUGUCGCAAUUUUCAGACAUCGUAGUUUUCUACUACUUGAAUGGAAAAACUAUCUGCUUUAGAAUCAGAAAGACAGUUACCGAGAUUCAUAAUUGCAUGCGAAGAUUUUGUACUGAGACAUUUUGUCUAGCAGAUUUUUUUACUUUGAAAAAAAAAAUGAGAGAAUUAUUUCAAAUAAAUACUAUAAUAAGCCAUUUUGAAAAUGCAAAUAUCUCAUUCAAUUCUGAAUAGAUAUUCAUGUUAUUAGUGUCAUUCUUAGGCAAACCCUUUCAUGUUUCAUGGUUAAUUUGUCACAGUUAACAAAAUUGGGAAAGGAUGUGAUUUCUUGCUCAAAAAUGACAGUCCACAGGAAACAAAAAUAUGGCCACGCCGUUGCAACAAAGGUACAUGUUUUGGCGAUUAUUUUGCAAAAGGUUAACAAGAUAUGAAGCUGAUAAUUUGAUACAAUUAGGACUAAUGUCGAGGAUAUUCAAUGAGACUAUUUUCAUCUUAAAUUGAAUACAUUGAUUGGAAGUGGCUCUGUCAUCCACCAUUGCUCGUCUUUUCCAGGAAACCCAAUUCUAAAUUUAGACUGCAUUUUCCGAAAAUCUUGGUGGUGACCUCAGUCAGGUCAGUCAGGUGAGGUCAAGCUAGGUUCAGCACUGAGGUAGAGACAUUGCUUCCAGCGCGUGAAUGUAUUUUUGUGAAAUAAAAGCAUAUUCUUGUGUUUGCAGAUGAAGGGAACAGAAAAAAAUUUAUGAGAAAAUACAUCUCAGAAUAUCUGCCAUUGAAAACUAUCAAGGAUGGAAUCGGAUAAUAAUUACAGGAGCUGAUUCUGCAUGCAAACAGCACUGUGAUGUGAUUUGUACAGGCCAAGGUGUUCCAAGUUUUACAAACAUACUGAAGUGGUGUGCGACAGACUUUCUACAGCAGUGUUAUGCAGAUAAAAUCAUGUAUUCAUUUCACAAAUACUGAGCAGAUAUAUUGAAUUUCAACAAAUACAAUGCCUAUUCAGCUUGAUAAAUUUUGUAAGGCUGUAGAAACUUUGCUACAUUUGAUUUUGUGUGAUGCAGAAAACAUUAAAAUAUGAACACAGA
Long non-coding RNA from Mercenaria mercenaria, 1254 nucleotides. RefSeq lists it as uncharacterized. The record is from RefSeq and is a predicted model, not a curated record. The transcript is spliced from 2 exons. NCBI's taxonomy places the organism in Eukaryota, Metazoa, Mollusca, Bivalvia, Venerida, Veneridae.